Coturnix japonica (Japanese quail) is the source of this 6412-nucleotide non-coding RNA. The record is from RefSeq and is a predicted model, not a curated record. NCBI's taxonomy places the organism in Eukaryota, Metazoa, Chordata, Aves, Galliformes, Phasianidae.
CAGGUUCACAGUGAUAAAAGGGCUGUCAGCUCCUUAAACUGGGUGGCUGUGGCCGCAACUGCUCUUUGUCCCAUUGUUGUAAGGCAGAGGUGGCAGUCCGGGAAUGAGGAGUGGCUCUACUUGGUAGCAACCUAUUCGUGAUACGUUCCUAUCUGCUCUUGAGAAGAAAUACUAUGAAUAGGGGGAGUUCGGAGGUGUUUCCUGCAGGCCAGCUGCAGCAUCACUACUGGAAAGUCUCAGCCACAAGUGAAGAACGCAGGCCAGAUUGAAAGUGAUGACUUGCUGGUGACUGAUCUCAGCUGAUGGAGGAAAAAAUGACUCCUCGGUGAACUGGGCUAGCUCCCAGAAAAAGAAUCCAUUGCUUUGGAAAAGAGAUUAAUGAAGUACAUUCAGCGGAUCUGCUGGCCAGUGGACAGCAGUUUGUACUGCAGCCACCGGAUGAGGCGUUCUGUUGUGUCACCAGAUUAUUUAUAUCUUCCGUUGACUAGCACAUUGGUUUCCCUAAAGCAGAGGGAGUGUAUGAUUUGCUAUUUUUUAUUCUUUAUUAACUUCUAAAUAUAAAUUCAGCCACGAAGGGCACAUUGAGCUGACUGAUUUGUGAGGGAUGGGAGGAGGUUGGGGGAACUCCCCAGCAGAGAUCUCCUCUACAUCCCAACUUUCACAGACUUCUGAGACAAGCAAUGGAUUUUUCUUUCUGCCUGGUUAAUGUUUAUUCAAGGAAUAGUUUUCCUUAGUUUGCAGAAUUAAGACCAUCUGAUAUCUCUUCUUUCAAGCACCACAAAAAUUUUACCCAUAAAAGCAUUUCAGUGCUGUGUGUGUUCCAGAUUUUUGCUUGAGUAAGCAUAUAUUCUGAUAUUUAUAAGCCUCCUUGGCAGUAAGUGAGUGAGAGGGGAGACCUAAGAUUAUGGGAUAUUUUAGAAGUGUUGAACUGCAAACUGAAAACUUCUUGAAAAAAAUGUAUUGAGAGUUAAGUAAAACUUACUAGGAGAGAGAAGAUAUCAUAGUUCUUUUCUUUCUCUUGACAAUUCUCUUUCAGUCAUGUAUUAAGUUACAUCUUGUUCUUAUUCAGUUUUCUUUGUUUGAUUGAAUUUUCAUGGAUAUAAACCUAGUGUUUAUAACAAAAAGAACUAAAAAAAAAAAGAAGAGGAAUGGAUGGAACAGUUGUGCUGCUUCUGUAGAGGUUGAUUAAUGUCAAAAAAAAAAAAAAAAAAAGGAAUAUUAAGUUUUCAUUGCGAUUGUAUAUACCCAUUUAAAUUGUGCUAAGUGUGUGGCUGGAGAGCACCCUUAAUUUUAAUCCAGGAUCUGUGAAAAACUAUCUUCUGGGUUCUUCUUCUGCUGCUGUCAAAGAUGUUUUCCAACCAAGGAAUUCUCUAAUUUUUACCUGGAUAAGGAGGAGAUACUGGUUUCUAUCUCGUAUCCCACUGAUCUUCAUCAGACCACUGGAAUCAGUGUCCUCUGCUAAAGACAGUAAAAGAGAAUGUUUUAAAAUCAUAAAUAGGAAUUUAAUAUAGUUACCGAAAGCUCACAAAUUUCUUGAACCAUAUUCUAGUAUCCAAAAAAUUUUUUUCUUAGAUUUUUAUCAUGUUAUUACUAUAUCCUUUAAUUAGCCUCUGCAAAUUUGAAAUAGAAGCACUGAAACUCUAGCAGGAAAGUUGCUUCCAUGGGGGACUCAUGUCCCUGAAGUUUUAGUUUUGUUUUAGAACAGAUCAAGAUAUGAUAUAAUUUGAAACACCAUAAUUUUGGUAAUUUGCCUGUAAAUGAUGUGAACCUGCGUUUGUUUAAAUGUUCAGGCAUCUCUGAGUGACAAAUUAUAAUCUUAUUAUUUUUUUACCCUAGCAUCCCUUGGAUAGGAUGAGACUUAAAGUAGUGCCAUUUAAUGGAAGAUAUGUGAUAUUCACAGUCAUAUAAGACUUGACUAGCAUAGAAUUGGACUCUGGACUAUCAGGUUUACAGAUUGGCCAGAGAAAGACAAACUUAAAUACUGUAAGUAAAGGAAGCACAGCAGUAUGAAAGAAGAAUGUAGAGAAAAGCGGUAAAACAUUUUAUCUGCUGAAAACAGAGGAAGACUAUAAGUUACAAUUGAUUUAACAGAAAAUGUUUCGUUAGCAGAGCCAAAAGAGUUUUCCACUCAUGUGUGCCCAUUUGAAAGCUUUCAAAGAUAGCUUAGUUCAGCAGAAUUAAAGUGGUAUUUUGUAACCACUGUGAAGUAGCAGUUAUUCAAAUGGUUUCGUCUUUUUACUUAUUUAUUUUAUAUUAUUAAAAAGGAUAUUUUCUUUUACAUGGAAAUUACCUAAGUAAAUGACUCUAUGAUCCAUCUAGGAAAAUACUAUAGACAGUGCAUACUAUUUUUUCUAGCUAUACUCUUGGAGACUUAGAGUGUACUUCUUGCUGUUGGGUGUCAAGGAAAGACCUCUGACACUGUUUGACCUGGCAUGUUCAUGGCAGGGAAAUGGCUGGGAUAGUUUGAAGGUUCAAAAGCCCAAACACACUUCAGCUCAGUCAAGGGGACAUUUUACUGGGGAAGAGUUUUCCUUUCAAAUUCCAAAAAUGUAGUCCAGGAGCAGCCUUCAGAGCAUUUCUAAAGCAUGUGAUUUAGAAAGGCUGUGAUCUCUGAAUACAGUGAAAGAAUCUUUGUAUGAUAUAAACUUGCCCGCCACAUUCAAGCCAGACAAUAAUUUCUCCUCCCCUAUUCUGUCUUCAUUAGUAUUUUUUAUUUAUUCUGUCCCACAUACAUAUUUUUUUUCUUCUGGCUAGAUGAAGUUAUUUCCCUGCUUUCAUUGGACAAGUUGAUGCCAUAUUUGUUCUUUGCUCUGCAGGGCUCUGAUAAAAACUGAAUUCAUAUGGUGCACACUCAGUAUGCUAUAGGCUCAGCAGGAUGAAUUAAAUAACCUGAUUAUCAUUAACAUUUGCACAAUGCAGUAUAUUAGGUGUUAAGUUUUGAAGGGGAUGAGAUUUCCUCACCAAGGUAAAAAUGGUUUAAUUGUAGAUUGAGUAUCUGCUCCAUAGUGUCAUCUUUGGGCUAGUGUACAGGAAGGCAAUCUCUUAUUUAUUCUGCAAUGCUAAGCUGUUUGUUAGAGCAUGCUGUAGACUCAUUGCCUUUGUGCUGCUUAUCAGAGCAAAUAAAGACUUGUUGCGGUCUGCUGAGCAAACAGAAGGAACAUUAGCUCUUAAUAAAACAAUUUAAUUCUGGAGCUUUGAAUCUUCAUUUAGCAAUCAAAGCACGCUGCCUUUCACCAGAAGCACUGUGCAACUGAUUGUUGCCAUAGCAGCUAUAUUAUAUUAGAAAAAUAAGUUUGUAUACAGAGCUAACUACAAAUUUAUUUUUAAACAAUAUUCUGACUGAACUCAGAGGACAACUUGAAUGCUUAAAUUCAAGUAUAUGCUUAAAUAUCCCAUUGGUGUCAAACAAUGAAUUUUCAGAGAUACUAUUACCUUAAGACAAAAUCUUUAAUUUUGCUGAGUUGAGGUGCCUCUUCAAUAGUGGCAAUGAAGAAUGGGAAUCUUAAUCUGGCAUACAAAGAUAAUAUCCUGAAGUUAUUAUACUGUAUAGAGAAACAGUAGAAAAUCAGGAGAUGUGCUAGGAUACAAAUAUAAAAUCACAGUUGCCAUAUAUUAUAUGAAAAAUAGCAAAACAUUGCAUAAUUCAAGAAAGAGCAUGACAGUUGUUUUCAUAGAAAGGUCUUCUUUGUCCUUACCAACUUUGGGCAUAUGAAUAUCUUCACCAUGGUAAUUUCUGCUGUCCUGGGUUUAAGCCCUUGGCAACUUGCAGAUGGCCCUGAUGAAUUAGUGGUCAUUGCCUCACACUUUCAAAUACCUUUUUCCUAGUACACAGGCUACUCAUAUACAAAGCAAAUAUUACCAGGUAAUUUGUUCAUGAUUUGAGCCUAGGCUUUGGUUGUCUACUACGUCAGAAGUAUCAGUUCAGCUUGGCUUUGUCUUCAUGCUGAGCUGGAUAAGCAUUUCUUUAUUAGCUCCUGGCUUAUCUUCUUCCUGCUCUGUUCACCUGGAUCCAACAUUUAUCUUCAAAUGUGGAUUAAACAGGAAAAUACCACUGUUACUCCUAGGGUAAAAGUGUUAAAUUUAGGCACUACGAAGUGUAGUACUCUGUAGCACUUACGCAAAUUGGCAGCCUGUGCAUUCUCAUUUUCCCUCAGGUAGAGCUGACAUAUACUGGGCAAUAGAUGAUCCUUCUCAAUAUGUAAACUGACUUAAAGCUGGUGUUGUACAACCUGCCUUGCCCUUCACUUAAAAUAGGAGAAAUGUCUAAAUGUUCCUAUAUGCAAGAAAGCUAUUGCAAGAUGUACAAAGGGGCAGCCUGGCUUUUUGGAAUGUGUUGGGUAAGCAAUUUCCCUCAAGAAAGGAUGUAAAUGCAGAAAUACUGGUACCAAUUGGAAGGUGUCAGUUUUGUUGGUCUGAGUCAGGGAACCCAGGAGAUGGAGAGAAAGUAGGAGCUGAUCCUGUUCCUGCUGAGACUUGCUGGAUUUCAGCAAGGACGGUCAUGCUGGAUGAAUGUGCUUAUCUAGAAAUAAAACCCAGUUUUCCAAGUAAUUUAUUUUUUUCUUUCAGAAGUCCAAUAUGUGGGAAUUAAUUUCUAAAACAAGGACUGGAAUAUCAGCAAUAAUCUAAUUUAAUAACUUGAGGAUAUGCAAAGCACCCUAAAAUGUUAAUGAACUAAUACCCAGCAGACUUCUGGGGUGAGAAAAAUGUGAUCUCUGUGUUACAAAUGGGAAACUGGGGCACAGAGAAGAUCAAAGAUUUAGAUAAGCCCUUUGGUUCUGUUCAUAAUUAAUACACCCAUCAGGUACAAAAUUAUCCAGUUAAAAAAAGAAAGUGAUGUAGAACUGUUAGCUACAGAAAUCAGAGAAACUGUUUUAUUAAGCAAUUAUAUAAAAAAAAAUAAACAGAUCUCCAAACCUUUCACUUCUGAGUAUAAAUCAUGAUUCAGGGGCAUCAAAUCAGCUUCUUUUUCUCUUGGCUAAUAUUAUUUUCCAUCCUCUUACACUUCUGAUGUGCCAAAAUAAUGAAGUGAUGAUACUGCUUUUGUUACAAAAUCCUGAAGAGAACAGAACAAAGAAACAAAUGUGCUCAAAAGAAAUCUUGACAUUACUAUGUGUUACACCAAAACUGAUUAGAUUAAGGAUCUGGCACAUCAUUUUUAUGGGCUUUACAGCAGCAUAAUUCCACUGCCUUUAGCCUACUCACUCCUGAUUUAUACUCGUGUGUGUGAAGUUGGGCUGUACUUGUAAUUUGAUUCCAUGUAUGCCUCUUUCAGAUGGAAUUUUUCACACCCUUCAUGAAGGUUACUCCUAAUCCUGGCUGUCACCAUCAAAGUGGGAGCUUGCCAGAAUGGAAUAGGGCAAAGGAUGACUUUGCGUACCUCAUGUAAUCCAGUCUGUAGUUACUUAGUAUGAUAUUUUUCUUCAUGAUGAUUACAUGACAAUGUUGAACAAAGAUUGGAUCUGAAACUUUUCAGCCUUCAAGGUCCAUUUCUUUGUUGUUUGGGAAGCCUUUUCCCCCUUGUUCUCAAAAGACCUUUCAGACUGUGUGUGAUCAUGCAGUUAUCAAGGCUCUGUAUACAAACCAUAGUUUUCCAGAAAGCAUUUUCAGUUGAAUGGAAAAAUGUUUAGUAAUGGGAUAAAAUUACUGUUGCAUCAGUGAGGAAAAGUGACAUCAAACACAAAUGUGUGCUAGUUCUUACCUGGUAACGCAUUAGCAGUUUUAUUUGUUCUGUGUUUUCAUUUCUCACUGAAAGAAUAUGGUAGAACAGUUACUGCUAAUUCUUUAAAAAUAUAUAUACCUUCAUCACCAGCAUUCUCUUUGCAACAAGAGAGAGAAUUUCCCUGUUGGAGAUCCUCCUUUCAUCCAUGCUAUGUGGUUAAUCCUGCUGUCCUCAUUCAGACCAAAAAUGAAGGCAUUAACCUUCUUGGAAUAUUUCCCCAGGCUUUGAGAAAAUCCUGAGGAUCUAGCUUUUAAAUUUACGGGGAGCCUUUCCUUUUUCAUUUGCAAUGGUGUUGUAUUAGUAAUGCUUAACUUCAGUACUUGGACUUUUGAUUUGAAACAAGGCUAUUAAGGUGAUGAAGAAAGGUACUGCUAGUGUUCUGGAAUGCCCUCUGUAGUUUUGAGAGAUAUUACAUUUCUCCAGUGUUCAGUAUUUUAGUGCUCUCUCAUUAAUUUUUAUGUCAAAACAUAAAAAUUUACUCUUUCUGAUGUGAAUCGUGAAAUCUUUAACAUGGAUAUUACAUGCUCUUUAUACAUCAACUUUCAGUUUCUGUUCAGUUAUCAGGAUAUUUCUGUUACCCAUUUUGGUUUUAUGGUGCUAUUAUUGAAACUAUGAUAAAUACAUUGCAAUUUCAAAUGGUACAUCCAGCACAACUGAGCAAAAAUAAACAAUCCUGUGCUGAUUCCAAUUGCA